GGGAGUGUAACUCAGUGGUAGAGUACAUGCCUAGCAUGUUCAAAGCCCUGGGUUUGAUCCCUAGCACCACUA
RNAcentral lists this transfer RNA (72 nucleotides) under Marmota marmota marmota (Alpine marmot). It matches the Rfam family "tRNA". From Rfam's summary of the family: Transfer RNA (tRNA) molecules are approximately 80 nucleotides in length. Their secondary structure includes four short double-helical elements and three loops (D, anti-codon, and T loops). RNAcentral also lists the same sequence under 3 other names. Lineage: Eukaryota; Metazoa; Chordata; Mammalia; Rodentia; Sciuridae. The record is from Rfam by way of RNAcentral.